Molecule: long non-coding RNA, 689 nt
Organism: Aricia agestis (brown argus)
Lineage: Eukaryota; Metazoa; Arthropoda; Insecta; Lepidoptera; Lycaenidae
Exons: 3
Source: RefSeq, a predicted model, not a curated record
AGCACGUCUGCAAGGCGGACCGUGUAGUCGGGGCAUUUCACAAUUUCCCAUAAAACGGAGUCCAUAAACGAAUUGACUUUGCGAAAUCGGUCGAAUUUGAUUUCGAGCGAAUUUCAAUCAAAUCUUUGUUAUCGGAUUCAAUACGGAGAACGAAAAUGCUUUGCAUCGUCUUUGUCGCAUUUCUGUCGAUCGUCAAAGCCAGGGACUUUGGCAUGAGAGCCGUACCUGGAAUCAGGGAUUCCAUCAUCAACCUUGGCAAGAUGGACGUCUCCUUCUACAUGAAUGGGAAACCAGAAGAUUAUCAACAUAAACACUAUCAAGAAUCAAGCGAGGUCACGAAAACUAGCACUUGCUCAAAUGGUAAUGAUGAUGAACUAAGAUUUUUAGACAACCUCAUCAGUAGCCAUCAUAACUCACACAACCAACCCGCCUUCUCCACCAAAUGCUGCCAGAAAGAUGCCCACGAGGAUAUAAUAUUCGCGUUCACACCAAAAAUUCAUCCAAAACGUGCAAAUUCACAAAAUUCCCUUCCAUUUAACUCCAUCCCCUUCCCUUUAAACCUCUUAAUGGACCCAACGAAAUUAAAACUACCAGCAGUUCAAAAAAAAAAAUAAGAAUAUUGAAAUAGUUCUGUUUCCUAAAAGAAAAGAUGUAGAAAACGAACUGACUACAAAAGAUAUGAACCCUAA